Small nuclear RNA from Suncus etruscus (white-toothed pygmy shrew), 183 nucleotides. RefSeq annotates it as U2 spliceosomal RNA. The record is from RefSeq and is a predicted model, not a curated record. The transcript has a single exon. Lineage: Eukaryota; Metazoa; Chordata; Mammalia; Eulipotyphla; Soricidae.
AUUGCUUCUCGACCUUUUAGCUAAGAUCAAGUGUAGUAUCUGUUCUUAUCAGUUUAAUAUCUGAUAUGUCCUCUAUCUGAGGACAAGAUAUUAAACGAAUUUUUGAAAUCAGAAGAGGAACUUGCUCUGUCCGCUCCGCGCAUCGAUCUGGUAUGCAGUACCUCCAGGAAUGGUGCACCAAAA